Molecule: transfer RNA, 73 nt
Filed under: Acinetobacter baumannii
Lineage: Bacteria; Pseudomonadati; Pseudomonadota; Gammaproteobacteria; Moraxellales; Moraxellaceae
Description: tRNA-Arg
Rfam family: tRNA
About the family: Transfer RNA (tRNA) molecules are approximately 80 nucleotides in length. Their secondary structure includes four short double-helical elements and three loops (D, anti-codon, and T loops).
Source: RNAcentral
CGCCCAUAGCUCAGUAGAAUAGAGCACUUGGCUACGAACUAAAGGGUCGGGAGCGCGAAUCUCUCUGAGCGAA